Small nuclear RNA from Phodopus roborovskii (desert hamster), 103 nucleotides. NCBI's taxonomy places the organism in Eukaryota, Metazoa, Chordata, Mammalia, Rodentia, Cricetidae. The record is from RefSeq and is a predicted model, not a curated record.
CUGCUUUGGCAGAAUAUAUGCUAAAAUUGGAACAAUACAGACAAUAUUAGCAUGGUCCUGGUGUAAGGACGACAUACAAACACAUUAAAAAUAUCUUGAUAUU